Prunus persica (peach) is the source of this 85-nucleotide transfer RNA. It matches the Rfam family "tRNA". From Rfam's summary of the family: Transfer RNA (tRNA) molecules are approximately 80 nucleotides in length. Their secondary structure includes four short double-helical elements and three loops (D, anti-codon, and T loops). The record is from Rfam. NCBI's taxonomy places the organism in Eukaryota, Viridiplantae, Streptophyta, Magnoliopsida, Rosales, Rosaceae.
GGGUCCAUAGCUCAGUGGUAGAGCAUUUGAGCUGCAUGUUUGAUUGCAAAUCUUAAGGUCAUCGGUUCGAACCCGGUUGGGCCCU